CAUGGUCUUUUCGGGAUGCUGUGUGAUCGAAGGAUUGAAUUGUACAGUAACUCACCACAGAAAGAUAAUUUUGAUAUUUUUAAUAAAUUUUAAAUCUUUUGGAUAGUCAUGACAUAUUGCUAGACAUCAAUCUUGACUUGUGGACUCAUCAGAAUUAAAAGAAUUUAAUUUGAGGAUCAAUUAGGAAGAGUCCUAAUUGAUUGGGACUCUUGAGCUGACCUAAUCUAAUUGGAUUAAGGUUACGUUGAGAGUCUUGAUCCACUGUUGGCU
This 270-nucleotide long non-coding RNA is filed under the name Elaeis guineensis (African oil palm). RNAcentral describes it as "long non-coding RNA (EGUI_LNC061423)". The record is from RNAcentral. Lineage: Eukaryota; Viridiplantae; Streptophyta; Magnoliopsida; Arecales; Arecaceae.